RNAcentral lists this ribosomal RNA (253 nucleotides) under uncultured bacterium. Its description in RNAcentral is "partial 16S ribosomal RNA". It matches the Rfam family "Bacterial small subunit ribosomal RNA", at positions 524 to 776 of the family's 1533-position model. The record is from RNAcentral.
UACGUAGGUGGCAAGCGUUGUCCGGAAUUAUUGGGCGUAAAGCGCGCGCAGGCGGCCUUUUAAGUCUGAUGUGAAAGCCCCCGGCUCAACCGGGGAGGGUCAUUGGAAACUGGAAGGCUUGAGUGCAGAAGAGAAGAGCGGAAUUCCACGUGUAGCGGUGAAAUGCGUAGAGAUGUGGAGGAACACCAGUGGCGAAGGCGGCCCUUUGGUCUGUAACUGACGCUGAGGCGCGAAAGCGUGGGGAGCAAACAGG